Long non-coding RNA from Clupea harengus (Atlantic herring), 1092 nucleotides. The record is from Ensembl. NCBI's taxonomy places the organism in Eukaryota, Metazoa, Chordata, Actinopteri, Clupeiformes, Clupeidae.
GAUGGGGGGUGGGGGUGGGGGGGUUUUCCGAAAUUAAAAUUAUUGAUUGAUGCCACGGACGUUUUGGAGAUCUAAUUAGACACGAUGUGGACAAAAGCUGAUAUUAUAAUAGAUUGUUUCGGAGUUUCACAGACAGAUUGCGAUGGGGGUGUAAUUUAUCUUCCUUUAUCAAACGUGGAUAUUAAAAACGAUAAUUAGAGCGUUGCAGGGAUGGGAUGCAAGUCUCACACUCCAAUGGAAUUACCAAUUUGUUCUUACACGGAUGAUGUAAAUACUGCACUUGGAUGAGGUAAGGUAAGUGUCUGACUGGAAAUAGACUGCACUGAUUUGCUAAUCUGCAAGAUGAUUUAACAACAAGUCAAUGUCUAGGGAUUUUUGUGUUAUUUUCCUGUGUUGUUUUUAUAAUGGCUGUCAAAAUUAACUGAAAUAAAUGUUACAAAAGGUUACAAAAUGUGUGGUCAUUUCUUUAGGAAUGAUAUUCCAUCUGCCAUAAGACUACAUGGAUUUCAAAGCAUUUACUAACAUUGUCCAUGGAAUCAAUGACAAGGUUUGUUAUCACAUCCCAUCACUAACACUGUAUAAACAAACAAAGUCUAACACACUGGUUGAUGGUAUUGAACAAAUACGCCUAUAUAUACAGACAAUUACAAGUACAUACAUUGACAAGCCCUCUCUCGAUCACAAGUUGCUGAACAGCACAGUCCAUGCCAUAGACAGAUGUUAACCAGAAUGUUUCAAAAAUGUACCACAUAAACAUGAUAAAUAUUGCACAUGAAAGCAGACAAAACACCCUGAGGCAUUGGAAAACACAGCGUUAUCCUCGUCUGAAAUGUCUUGAGAUUUCCUCACCACCCAUUGACUAGUAGAUUUAAAAGAGUUGCUGGGCUGUAAAAACUAAUGCAUAUGCAGCCAUGGCAAUGUCCUCCCCUUUAUUCUUCUGGCGUAAUGGCUGCAUGUCCUUGAAUCAGGGAAGCAACAUCCAAUCCUGUUCCUUCUUUCCCAGUCAUAAAUGGAAUGGUGAUAAAAUUCAAGAGCCAUCCAGCAGAUAUCCUUCAGAGAAUAGACUUACAGAAUGGCUCCAUUUGUCAUGGU